This 336-nucleotide RNase P RNA is filed under the name human gut metagenome. RNAcentral's name for it is "Bacterial RNase P class A". It matches the Rfam family "Bacterial RNase P class A". From Rfam's summary of the family: Ribonuclease P (RNase P) is a ubiquitous endoribonuclease, found in archaea, bacteria and eukarya as well as chloroplasts and mitochondria. Its best characterised activity is the generation of mature 5'-ends of tRNAs by cleaving the 5'-leader elements of precursor-tRNAs. The record is from RNAcentral.
AGGCGGGUUUGUCGCUGGCGAAAGUCAGAGGAAAGUCCGAGCAACACAGGGCACUGUGCUUCCUAACGGGAAGUUGUUCGUGAGAGCAAACGAUUGUAGAAGAAAAUAACCGCCCGUUAUUCGGGUAAGGGUGAGAAGGCGGGGUAAGAGCCCACCAGUUUGAUGGUGACAUCAAGUGUUGUACAAGUCACAGGUUGCAAAAUCAAAUAUACCGACGCUGUAGGGCUGCCCGUCCGAUGUCGGGGGGUAGAUUGCUUGAAACACGUGGUGACGCGUGUUCUAGAUAAAUGACAAACGUCCGCUUGCGGAUACAGAACUCGGCUUAUACGCCUACUA